Molecule: transfer RNA, 75 nt
Filed under: Marmota monax (woodchuck)
Lineage: Eukaryota; Metazoa; Chordata; Mammalia; Rodentia; Sciuridae
Description: tRNA.Ala
Rfam family: tRNA
About the family: Transfer RNA (tRNA) molecules are approximately 80 nucleotides in length. Their secondary structure includes four short double-helical elements and three loops (D, anti-codon, and T loops). Further hydrogen bonds mediate the characteristic L-shaped molecular structure. tRNAs have two regions of fundamental functional importance: the anti-codon, which is responsible for specific mRNA codon recognition, and the 3' end, to which the tRNAs corresponding amino acid is attached (by aminoacyl-tRNA synthetases). tRNAs cope with the degeneracy of the genetic code in two manners: having more than one tRNA (with a specific anti-codon) for a particular amino acid; and 'wobble' base-pairing, i.e. permitting non-standard base-pairing at the 3rd anti-codon position.
Source: RNAcentral
GCUGGGGUUGGGGCUCAGAGGUAGAGCACUCGCCUCGCACAUGAGAGACCCUGGGUUUGAUCCUCAGCACCAAUG